CCUACGGGCGGCAGCAGUGAGGAAUAUUGGUCAAUGGGCUUACGCCUGAACCAGCCAAGUCGCGUGAGGGAAGACUGCCCUAUGGGUUGUAAACCUCUUUUGUCAGGGAGCAAUUGGCGCUACGUGUAGCGUUAUCGAGAGUACCUGAAGAAAAAGCAUCGGCUAACUCCGUGCCAGCAGCCGCGGUAAUACGGAGGAUGCGAGCGUUAUCCGGAUUUAUUGGGUUUAAAGGGUGCGUAGGCGGAAUGCCAAGUCAGCGGUAAAAUCGCGGGGCUCAACCUCGCUCCGCCGUUGAAACUGGCGGUCUUGAGUGGGCGAGAAGUAUGCGGAAUGCGUGGUGUAGCGGUGAAAGGCAGAGAUAUCACGCAGAACUCCGAUUGCGAAGGCAGCAUACCGGCGCCCAACUGACGCUGAAGCACGAAAGCGUGGGUAUCGAACAGGAUUAGAUACCCCGGUAGUC
RNAcentral lists this ribosomal RNA (460 nucleotides) under uncultured bacterium. Its description in RNAcentral is "partial 16S ribosomal RNA". It matches the Rfam family "Bacterial small subunit ribosomal RNA", at positions 338 to 795 of the family's 1533-position model. The record is from RNAcentral.